GAGCGCAGUGCCAGUGAGCGUCCUGCUGUGUGUGCCGAGCGCUUCCACAACGUUGCCACACUGUUCCUUGUCAUGAGACUCUGAGGGCUGAUUACUGUAAGCCCUCCUAUUUUCGAUCUUCAGAUCAGGUUGAUUGGCUGCGCGCUGUGUCUGGAUGGAGGCAGGUUGGAUUUAAUGUCUUGCACCGUUAAUCCGCCUUUAAGUACUAUGCCCCCCCAACACACACACACACACACACACACGAAACCCCCUCCUGUGCGUCACGUACGCACGGACAGGUUGGUGUAGCUCCGCCAGAAGUGCCAGUGGUUCGGAUAUCUUUUUUAAGGUUUUGGAUAAAACAUGGGAUGUUCUGUACAUCCUGUUCUGGCCUGGUUUGUUCAGAGGUGUAGAGGAUCAUGAUCAUCUCCACUUGGCCACUGAACCUGUGACCAUAGUGUAUUGCUUAACGUGCUGUUCAAUUGUUUGGUUUUUUGUUUGUUUCCUGUUUUUAUUUUUAUUUUUACCAGGAAUGAUGCUUCUGAAUCAGCUUGUCUAUAUGGAAUAAGCUAAGUACAUUUUGGAUAAACCGUUGGGAGGAACAUGCCGUAACCAGCUGUCAGACGGGCUGAAUUGGACAACUCCACCAACAGCUGCGCUCAUGAGGUUGUAUACCUGAGGUUAAGGGGGAACAUUUUUACCAGCAGGGUUGGAUACUCCUCAGGAGAGGCCCGCAGGACUUUAUAAAAUGCAUGAUGCCAGACCUUCUCCAUGUCACCCCAGUUUGUGAGGGUGCCAUGCUUGAUGAGAUACCUCAAGGUUAUAGUUUCUUUUUUGCUCUGGCUCUCAUAUCCAACAUAUGAGUCCUUCUGGCACAUACCAACCGUGACUCCCAGAAAAUGACAAGCAUGGAAAAUGUACUGCAUGGAGUGAAUACAUUUGUGUCCUUGUGGUGUAAAAAAAAAAAA
Molecule: long non-coding RNA, 947 nt
Organism: Cyprinodon tularosa
Lineage: Eukaryota; Metazoa; Chordata; Actinopteri; Cyprinodontiformes; Cyprinodontidae
Exons: 3
Source: RefSeq, a predicted model, not a curated record